RNAcentral lists this ribosomal RNA (374 nucleotides) under uncultured prokaryote. Its description in RNAcentral is "bacterial SSU rRNA". It matches the Rfam family "Bacterial small subunit ribosomal RNA", at positions 524 to 896 of the family's 1533-position model. The record is from RNAcentral.
UACGGGGGGUGCAAGCGUUAUUCGGAAUCAUUGGGCGUAAAGGGCGCGUAGGCGGCCCCUUAAGUCAGAUGUGAAAGCCCUCAGCUUAACUGAGGAAGUGCAUUUGAAACUAAGGGGCUUGAGUAUGGGAGAGGGAAGCGGAAUUCCUGGUGUAGCGGUGAAAUGCGUAGAUAUCAGGAGGAACACCGGUGGCGAAGGCGGCUUCCUGGACCAAUACUGACGCUGAGGCGCGAAGGCGUGGGGAGCAAACAGGAUUAGAUACCCUGGUAGUCCACGCAGUAAACUGUGAACACUAGGUGUAGCGGGUAUUGACCCCUGCUGUGCCGAAGCUAACGCAUUAAGUGUUCCGCCUGGGAAGUACGGUCGCAAGGCUA